CUUACACCAUAGCCACAGCAAUGCCAGAUCUGAGCCACUUCCGCAAGCUACACCACAGUUCACAGCAACACUGGAUCCUUAACCCACUGAGUGAGGCCACGGAUUGAACCACAUCCUCAUGGAUCCUAGUUGGGUUCAUUAUUGCUGAGCCACGACAUGGGAACUCCGUGGACAAAGAACAAGCAAAUGGAGGCUUACUGCUGUCUUUUACAAUUCCCUGAACGUGCCUUGAGAUUUCUUAUUCCUGCACCACUGCCAGGAGCGAAGACCAGUGAUUUCUUGUUAGUCCAUAGUUUUAUCUGUACUAUGCACCCCCUGAUUUUGAAUAGAAUAAUUGAAUUGUUCAAUUUACAAUUCUAUACCUUCUUUAAAACUGUCAUAACUCUGCUUAGUUAAAAAGAAUUAAAAUGAUAGCUUGCAAAGUAUCUGUUUUAGGUUGUACUACUUAAUUACUGAGAUAGAUCUCAACUUCCACAGGUAAAAAAACAGUCUUACUUUCCUUAACUACUUCUUUGAAGGGCAACUUCCUUAGGUACUUGUAUUUUUUCCCUCCAAACUAUUUUAUCUGACACCAAACAUAGGUUUUACAUUUCCAAGCAAAGUACAACAUCUCUCAAGGUUUGUUGACAUGUUUCCAGUCCUGUGGGUGUCUCCCAGGCAACAGAAAUUUAGGGGAACUAAACAUAGUAUAUGAAAAACAGAUGGAAAUUGAGAUGUUGAUCAAAUGAACAGUGAAAAUGGAAACUAGGAAAAUGCCAGGCCUCACAUAGAUGCUUGUAACCUGAUGAUACCGCAAGACGCAAGUGGUGAAGACUGGCUGCUGAAAUACCAGCUUGUAUUAGGCAGAGCUGGAGGUAGGGUUCCCUAUCUUCUGGCUUGGACAAACUGUUUCUGGAUGCUGGGGAAAAGCUUGGCUACACAUCUCACUCAGAAUGUCUCCCUUAAGAGUCAUCAUUUCUGGAAGUGCUUCCAGAUAUUUUCUUGUGAGGAUGUCAACUUUAAUUUGCAACAUCUAAUUCAGUGUCAGCAAAGUAGCAAGUCUGUACAGAGAAAGAAGGAGUCCAAAGAAACAAAGUUGAGGUAUUUCAAGAAGGAAUAGUGAAGCAACUGGGACAGAGUCCUACGAUUCACCUGCCAGAGGAGGCAAAGAGCUUUGCGGCUGAAAUACAUCAUCUGACAAAGUCAAGUUCUAAUUAUAUUUAUGCAAGGUUAAAUUUGAAGUGAAAAAGUAAGUGCUGAUUUAGUGAUGCCAUUUACUAGACUGUUGACCUUCUCUUAUUGAUCUGUCAACAGUAAAAUGGAAUUAAUGUGGCUACCUUGUAAUGGAAUGGACAUUUUCCCCAUGCGUUUGAAGUUAAGAUAAGCUCUUACUUGAAUCUCUUCAAGUAAGAUAUGCUCUUACUUGAAUUAAAAUCACGUGUGAUUUUAAUCUCUUCCUUCUCCUUUGCUAUGACUCAGAAAUUCAUAGGUGCUUCAUCUGGAGAGAUUUUUUGGCCUACCUUUCCCCUCUAACUAUGUUGUGUGCUAAUGCCAUGAGUUUUCCUGGUACGCUCUACUUCCCCAUCAGAACAUUGAAUUAGCUUCAUUAUUGUUGUUUAAUUUAUUAUCACCUCAGAUAAGUUUCACUGAGGGCAAGGAAACUGCUUCAAUCUCCUACCAUCCUACAGCCAUACUCACCACUGCUUCUUCAGAACACAGCCCUUGUAAAUGUUUCAAUAAUUAUUGUUGAAUGAUGGGAUUACUCCAAAUAUCUAUUAAGCCACACUGGCCCUUCUCUUCAACAGUAUGGGAAACACAAAC
RNAcentral lists this long non-coding RNA (1800 nucleotides) under Sus scrofa (pig). RNAcentral describes it as "lncRNA (ENSSSCG00035016652.1)". Lineage: Eukaryota; Metazoa; Chordata; Mammalia; Artiodactyla; Suidae. The record is from RNAcentral.